CCUACGGGUGGCAGCAGUGGGGAAUAUUGGACAAUGGGCGAAAGCCUGAUCCAGCCAUGCCGCGUGUGUGAAGAAGGCCUUCGGGUUGUAAAGCACUUUCAGUGGGGAAGAAAGCCUUGGGGCUAAUACCCUCGAGGAAGGACAUCACCGACAGAAGAAGCACCGGCUAACUCCGUGCCAGCAGCCGCGGUAAUACGGAGGGUGCGAGCGUUAAUCGGAAUUACUGGGCGUAAAGCGCGCGUAGGCGGUCUGAUAAGCCGGUUGUGAAAGCCCCGGGCUCAACCUGGGAACGGCAUCCGGAACUGUCAGGCUAGAGUGCAGGAGAGGAAGGUAGAAUUCCCGGUGUAGCGGUGAAAUGCGUAGAGAUCGGGAGGAAUACCAGUGGCGAAGGCGGCCUUCUGGACUGACACUGACGCUGAGGUGCGAAAGCGUGGGUAGCAAACAGGAUUAGAUACCCCAGUAGUC
Molecule: ribosomal RNA, 465 nt
Filed under: Vreelandella stevensii
Lineage: Bacteria; Pseudomonadati; Pseudomonadota; Gammaproteobacteria; Oceanospirillales; Halomonadaceae
Description: partial 16S ribosomal RNA
Rfam family: Bacterial small subunit ribosomal RNA
Source: RNAcentral